GUAUGUCAGUGUGCAAACUUCUCUGAUGAGCCUCAUCCAAAAUUAUGAUAGAGUACUUCCUCAAUAAGAAAUCACUCUGAAUUCACGAAAGGCAAAUAUUGAGAACAGUUUAUUCCAAAAGAAAACAACAAAAGCCACUUAAUGACAUGAUCAUUAGUUCAAUACGUCCAAAGUUCUAAUUAAAACCAUAUAGAAAACCGAAGUGUAUUUUCCUAACAUCUAACUUACCAAUGGGAACAACAGAUUGACUCAUUCUGGUUCAUGUUUAUAACAACAACAAACAACACCAGGGGCAAGGUUUAAGGGGGGAGAAAAAAAAAAAAAAAAAAAAGGUCAAACAUCAGCAUUAAGCAAGAGAAUAUUACAACAUGAAUUAAAAUAUAAUUCAACAGCCUUGACUAGGUCUACAGUUUGCAGCAGUCAUUGUCCCCUGCAGUGUGAGAAUAGUUGUUUGUGAUUACAACUGGAGUUCCCAUUCCUCAUUGUUCAUUAUCUGCUUCUCGUUAAAUUUCUUGUUACAUUCAAAAGAGCAAUAGAACGAAUGCAGUCAUUAAA
Molecule: long non-coding RNA, 555 nt
Organism: Rhododendron vialii
Lineage: Eukaryota; Viridiplantae; Streptophyta; Magnoliopsida; Ericales; Ericaceae
Exons: 2
Source: RefSeq, a predicted model, not a curated record